RNAcentral lists this ribosomal RNA (383 nucleotides) under uncultured bacterium. RNAcentral describes it as "bacterial SSU rRNA". It matches the Rfam family "Bacterial small subunit ribosomal RNA", at positions 28 to 408 of the family's 1533-position model. The record is from RNAcentral.
GACGAACGCUGGCGGCGUGCUUAACACAUGCAAGUCGAGCGGUAAGGCCCUUUCGGGGGUACACGAGCGGCGAACGGGUGAGUAACACGUGGGUGACCUGCCCUCAGCUCUGGGAUAAGCCUGGGAAACCGGGUCUAAUACUGGAUAUGACUCCAUGACGCAUGUUGUGGGGUGGAAAGCCUUGUGCGGCUGAGGAUGGGCCCGCGGCCUAUCAGCUUGUUGGUGGGGUGANGGCCUACCAAGGCGACGACGGGUAGCCGGCCUGAGAGGGCGACCGGCCACACUGGGACUGAGACACGGCCCAGACUCCUACGGGAGGCAGCAGUGGGGAAUCUUGCGACAAGUGGGACGAAACGCCUGACGCAGCGACGCCGCGUGGAGGG